ACAACACAACUAAUACAUGCAAUAUAUAUUGCUUUCACACACACCAAAACAUAUAUACUUGAUAUACUUUUCUCAAAAACAUGUUCACUUUUACUGAAAACAGAUGCACAGUCAAAACUAAAAUCUGACACACGACUCAGAAAACACAUUGUUGCAUUGUACAAUGCACUACAUUCUCAUAUGUACUAGAUUACUCAGUAAGUACAGUGUGCCACAGUGUACAACAAGGCAUAUAUCCCAGAAUCAGAAUACAGAUGCACUUCACUGCAUUGUAUAAUAAGCUCCAUUUCAUCAUCAUUAUGGAGGGUCAUUCACAUCUUCCUACUGCCAUGCAUGCAUAGGCACCCACUUAAUAGUCUACACUUCUCCAUACAUCUGAAAGAGGAACGGUUAUGUGUGGGUUCACACUUAUCCACUACACCCAAAAACAAAAUGGUUAUGCAGGGGUACACUGAAGCUUAACAUCAUGCAGGUGCUUUUGGAAUGACUCGUCUCAAUAACAAGUGAUGCACACUUAUCAAAAUCACUUUCCAAAACACAUGGAUGAAAAUAACACUUAAAACACAAUAGUGCUUUCACCAAAAAUUUUCAUUUUAUAUAUGAAAGUACAUAUAAAACACAAAUGAAAACACUUGAAACUUUGGAUGCUAUGCAAUCACAAUAUUCAUUUACUAUACUGAAAAUACUUUUAAAAUAUUUUGAAAACUACAUACGCUAUGCAAUCACAAUAUCCACUUAAUAUAUUGAAAAUACUUUCAAAACAUUUCAAAAACUACAUAUGCCAUGACAUUACAACACCCACUUAUCUCAAGUGUGAUGCAAUCAAUUUAAGCUUUCUCUAUUAUGAAAAAGUAUCCCUUUAUAUUUUCCUCAGUUUUCUCUGGUCACUCCAUCAAAGUCUUUCCACAAAAAUACUUCAAUUUUCUCUUUUCACUCAAGCAGAGUCUCCCCUUAUAUUUUCAUCAAUU
Molecule: long non-coding RNA, 968 nt
Filed under: Carica papaya (papaya)
Lineage: Eukaryota; Viridiplantae; Streptophyta; Magnoliopsida; Brassicales; Caricaceae
Description: long non-coding RNA (CPAP_LNC016590)
Source: RNAcentral